Molecule: transfer-messenger RNA, 133 nt
Filed under: Butyricimonas sp.
Lineage: Bacteria; Pseudomonadati; Bacteroidota; Bacteroidia; Bacteroidales; Odoribacteraceae
Description: partial transfer-messenger RNA
Rfam family: transfer-messenger RNA
About the family: Bacterial tmRNA, also known as 10Sa RNA or SsrA, is named for its dual tRNA and mRNA-like properties.
Source: RNAcentral
AAAUAACAGAAGCUAAGGUAUAGUUUGGGUGCCUUUUUCCGGGCUAUAUUCGAAAACCAACAAAAAGCUAAGCAUGUAGAAAGCAUAUGGAUUCCGUGUUUGGACCAGGGUUCGAUUCCCUACUACUCCACCC